This 65-nucleotide transfer RNA is filed under the name Anodonta anatina. RNAcentral's name for it is "tRNA-His". The record is from RNAcentral. Lineage: Eukaryota; Metazoa; Mollusca; Bivalvia; Unionida; Unionidae.
AGCAGAGUAGUUUAAGCUAAGAAUAUUAGGUUGUGGACCUACUGGAGGAUUAUGUCCCUUUGUUA